This 253-nucleotide ribosomal RNA is filed under the name uncultured bacterium. Its description in RNAcentral is "partial 16S ribosomal RNA". It matches the Rfam family "Bacterial small subunit ribosomal RNA", at positions 524 to 776 of the family's 1533-position model. The record is from RNAcentral.
UACGUAGGGUGCGAGCGUUGUCCGGAAUUAUUGGGCGUAAAGGGCUCGUAGGCGGUCUGUCGCGUCGGGAGUGAAAACUCAGGGCUUAACCCUGAGCCUGCUUCCGAUACGGGCAGACUAGAGGUAUGCAGGGGAGAACGGAAUUCCUGGUGUAGCGGUGGAAUGCGCAGAUAUCAGGAGGAACACCGGUGGCGAAGGCGGUUCUCUGGGCAUUACCUGACGCUGGGGAGCGAAAGUGUGGGGAGCGAACAGG